This 2971-nucleotide ribosomal RNA is filed under the name Nitrososphaerota archaeon. Its description in RNAcentral is "23S ribosomal RNA". It matches the Rfam family "Archaeal large subunit ribosomal RNA". RNAcentral also lists the same sequence under 2 other names. Lineage: Archaea; Thermoproteati; Nitrososphaerota. The record is from RNAcentral.
UGUACAGGAGAGAAGAAGCUACUAAGUGGAUAGCUAGGCUUCUGUAGCUGAAGAAGGGCGUAGCAAGCUGCGAAAAGCUUGGGGAAGGCGCAUGCAGCCUUCGAACCCAAGAUCCCUGAAUGCGACUUCGCUACUGGGUAAAACCCAGUAACUCCGGAAGGAGGAGGAACGCGGGGAAUUGAAACAUCUUAGUACCCGCAGGAAAAGAAACCAAAUGGGAUUCCCUGAGUAACGGCGAGCGAAAGGGGAACAGGGCAAAUUGAAUUGUUUAUCGCAAGAUAAACAAGAUGUGAUGGUUGGGCUUUUCCUCAAUACUUAGUCGAAAGUGCUGGAAUGCACUACCAUAGAGGGUGAUAGUCCCGUAGACGAAAAGUAAAGAGGAAAAUACCAACCAAAGAGUACUUGGGCUUGGUAUUGCUCAAGGAAGAUGCCUCUCAAUGAGAGGUAACCCUAAAUACUACAGAAGACCGAUAGCGGACAAGUAGCGCGAGCGAAAGCCGAAGAGAACCCCGAAAGGGGAGUGAAGAGAGCUUGAAACUUAGUAGCCACGGUAUGCCACGGCUCGAAAGUAUUUCCUCUGAAGGAAAUUCUCGUAAGAGAAGAGUACAGAAGAGGAAAUUCAGGGUUGUGGCGUUCCUUUCGGAUAAAGAGCCAGGGAGUUUGCACAAGUGGCGAGGCUAAGAGCAGCAAGCUCGGAGCCUAAGCGAAAGCAACAUGCCCGCAGUGAUGAACGAGGGGCGGAGUAUGAAAGUGCUCGGAGUCACUUGUGCAAAACCCGAAACCGCACGAUCUAGUCCUGGGCAGGACGAAGCGAGGUCUUUUUGAUCUCGUGGAGGUCCGUAGGGGUGCUGCGAGCAGGCGCUCCUCUGACCUGGGACUAGGGGUAAAAUACCAAUCGUGUGCGGAGAUAGCUGGUUCCCCUCGAAAUGAGACCAAAGUUCAGUCUCACCGGAGAUGGUUUAGGAGGUAGAGUUACUGAUUUGACACGUAUGUCUCGAAAGGGACAACUGUCAAGUCAAACUCCGAAUUCCUAAACAUCGUAGAUGGUGGGAAAUGGGGAGUGGGGGUAAGCCCCGCUUCCGAGAGCGCAAAAACGCCAACUGGGGUUAAGGUCCCAAAAUGCUGACUAAGUGAGAAACUGUGUGUUCACUCUUAGACAGCGGGAAGGUAGGCUUAGAAGCAGCCAUCCUCUAAGCAACGCGUAAUAGCGGACCCGUCGAGAGUGAAUGCCGGGAAAAUGGACGGGACUAAGUCAGCUACCGAUACCCCAGACCUCGAAAGAGGGGGUAGAGGGGCGUUCUGGAUGCGUAGAAGGAAGUUCGUGAGAACUUCUGGAGCGUCCAGAAUUGAGAAUCCUGGCGGUAGUAGUAAGUUAGCAGGGUGAGAAUCCCUGUCGCCGUAAGGGCAAGGGUUCCUCAGCUCCUUUCGUAGGCUGAGGGUUAGCCGGUCCUAAGCCAUAGCUUAAGACGCGAAGGCGAAAGGGAAGCAGGUUAAUAUUCCUGCGCCACCUAAGUACCUUGCCGCGAGGCAAAGAUAGCUCCAUGACACUUUGGGCUAGGCUGAGACGAACCAUCGUUCGUUCUAACUAGACCAAAUCUGGGAAGUAGCUUAAGGCUGAGAACCAGAUUAAGUCUAGGAAUGGUUCCCUGUAUAGGGAAUUCAGCUGAUGCCUAGAGUCCUUGAAAAGUGGAGCUAUAAAUGGGAUCUUAGGUGUCCGUACCCACAACCAACACUGGUGCCCCUAGCUGAGAAGGCUAAGGCGUGUGGGGCAAACUCGGGUUGAGGGAAAUCGGCAAAUUAGCCCCGUAACUUCGGGAGAAGGGGUGCCUGUGGAGGUCCGCAAGGGCUUCUGCGGGUCGCAGUGACAAGCAAGGGGGGACUGUUUACCAAAAACAUAGGCGACUGCAAGUGUCAAAGCAUAAGUACAGUCGCCGACGCCUGCCCAGCGCAGAUACCUGAAAGCUCGGUUCAACGGGCCCAAGGGUCUGUUAGCGGCGGAGGUAACUGUGACCUUCUUAAGCAAGCGCAAUGCCUUGCCAUUUAAAUGAUGGCUUUGCGAACGGCGUAACUACCUCUUGACUGUCCCCAACCCGAACCCUGCGAACUCACUCUCCUGGUGUAAAGGCCAGGGACUUCCGAUGGGUCACAAAGACCCCAGGAGCUUCACUGCAGCCUGUUGUUGCGUUAUAGGUCUUGGAAUAAAGCGUAAGCAGGAGACUACGAAGCAGGCUCGCUAGGGUCUGUGGAGUCGAAAUUGAAACACUGCUUUCUAAGAUUUAUAGCGCUAACUUCCCGAAAGGGAAGGACAGCAAUUGGUGGGCAGUUUAGCUGGGGCGGCAUGCCGGCGAAAAGAUAUCACCGGCGCCCAAAGAUCAGCUUAGCAGGUUUAGAAAUCCUGCGUUAAGUGCAAGGGCAAAAGCUGGUCUGACUGCUUUCCUUACAUUAGGGAAAGCAGGCUCGAAAGGGGGGCCUAGCGAACCUCUAUGCUCUCUCAUUGAGAGCUAGAGAUGACAGAAAAGCUACCCUGGGCGUAACUGGCUUGUCGCGGGUGAGAGCUCACAUCGACCCCGCGGCUUGGUACGCCGAUGUCGGCUCAACCCAUCCUGGUCGUGCAGCAGCGACCAAGGGUACGGGUGUCCACCGGUUAAAGGGUUUCGUGAGCUGGGUUCAGAACGCUGUGAGGCAGUUCGGCCGCUAACUAUCGGAAGUGCUGGCUGACUGAGUGGAAGUAUCCCUCAGUACGAGAGGAACUGGGAUACGGCGCCUCUGGUCAAGGGGUUGUCUGAUAAGGCAUCAAGCCCCGCAGCUACGCGCUAAGGGAUAACUCCUGAAUGCAUCUAAGGAGGAAACCCUCCGCAAAAAAAGUCAGCCUUAAGGCCAGCAGUUAGAAGACUGCGUUGAUAGAGUUGGGGUGUAAAGACCGUUCGAAGGUCUGAGCCCGCAACUACUAAUAGGCCAAAUCUCCUGUACG